This 531-nucleotide ribosomal RNA is filed under the name uncultured bacterium. Its description in RNAcentral is "bacterial SSU rRNA". It matches the Rfam family "Bacterial small subunit ribosomal RNA", at positions 8 to 521 of the family's 1533-position model. The record is from RNAcentral.
AGAGUUUGAUCCUGGCUCAGGAUGAACGCUAGCUCCAGGGUUAACACCAUGCAAGUCGAGGGGCAGCAUGGCCUAUCUUUCGGGAUGGGCCGAUGGCGUACUCGGCGCACGGGUGAGUAACGCGUAUCCAACCUUCCCUUUACUGGGGUCCAGACCCGUCGAAAGGCGGAUUAAUCCCCCAUGUUCUCCGUCCCGGACAUCUGUGUCGGAGCAAAGAUUUAUCGGUAAAGGAUGGGGAUGCGUCCGAUUAGCUUGUUGGCGGGGUAACGGCCCACCAAGGCAUCGAUCGGUAGGGGUUCUGAGAGGAAGGUCCCCCACACUGGAACUGAGACACGGUCCAGACUCCUACGGGAGGCAGCAGUGAGGAAUAUUGGUCAAUGGCCGUAAGGCUGAACCAAGCCAAGUAGCGUGAGGGAAGACUGCCCUAUGGGUUGUAAACCUCUUUUAUGCGGGGAUAAAGGUGUCCACGUGUGGAUGUUUGCAGGUACCGCAUGAAUAAGGACCGGCUAAUUCCGUGCCAGCAGCCGCGGU